UACGCGAUACACACAAUUUAUUAAUUCUUUGAUAUUGGAAUGAAGUCUUCCAGCAGAUACCCUGGCAGCCAUAACCUUGUGUGUGUAAAACGUAGUCGCAGUUGUCUUAAGAAUGCCAUACUCUCGAGUUACAUCUCAAUUGACCUUUCUGCAUUUUAUCCACAAUUUCUUUAUGUUCAAUCGAGUGUUGGUCUGGCCGGAAUUAUUCCUCCGGUCACUGCUCUUCGAACCCAUUGUUACAUUUCACUCAAAAAAAUAAUAAUAACUACGGAUGCACAAAUUUUUUACUUUCUGAAAAAUGCAG
This 304-nucleotide long non-coding RNA is filed under the name Androctonus crassicauda. Lineage: Eukaryota; Metazoa; Arthropoda; Arachnida; Scorpiones; Buthidae. The record is from RNAcentral.